Canis lupus familiaris (dog) is the source of this 2105-nucleotide long non-coding RNA. RefSeq lists it as uncharacterized. The record is from RefSeq and is a predicted model, not a curated record. Lineage: Eukaryota; Metazoa; Chordata; Mammalia; Carnivora; Canidae. The transcript has 3 exons.
GGGUCUCCUCAUUCACCAAGCAGGCGGGGGUGACAUCCUGGCAGAGGCCUCCUUCCCCAUGCCCUGACCCCAGUCUGCCCACAGCCCUCUGAGCCCUGAAUGGACCUGGUCUUCUCAGAGAGUAGGAAUGCCGUCCAGGCCAGGGUUGGCAGGGUUUAAGGACCCUCAGCCCAACAGAAACCCUAUGGGGUGGGUGCUGUGGGCUUGUCCCUCUCUGAACCCCAGGCUGAAACUCCUCCAUGGAUGGUGGGACUGAGGUUGGGGCUGCAGGGAGGUGGGCAGGGCCCUCGGGUUGGAGAGGCACCAGAAGAUGCUGGGGCCACUACGGAUCCCCAGGCAGAUGACCUCCUCACAUCACAUUCCCCUUGGCUCCUUCCCAGGCCUCUCCUGAGGGUGAUGCAUCUGCAAAAGUGGAAGGGCCCUAUCUGGUAUUUCCUUGGGUUCCUGAUUUAACCCUCUCAAUCUCCAGCAAAUGCAACCACACCUGUACCUGCAGCUAGGUUGGGACCCCCUUGUAAACUUGACUACACAGCUGCAGGAGGGAAUGCAGUGUUGGUGAGAUGGGCCCAGGGCAGCACCUUGGAGUUCAGGGAAUGGGAAGCAUCGAGAAGAUUCUGGCUUCAGCUCCACGGUGUCUCCAGAGAGACUGGGCCUCCCUAGAGCUGAGCCUCGUCCUCCACAAGGAGCGGGGACUGUGGCCCUGACCUGUCGCUCCCCCUGCCGCCAACCUUGGGGCUGCGGAGUCUUUGGCUCUGGCAUCAGACUCUCCCCAGGCAGGGGACUCUCCUGGGAACAGGACAGCAGGACGCUCUGUGUGGGCCCCCAGCUCCAUUGUGACAGAGUGCCCUCAGGGGGCACGCAGCGCCCACCUUCUCACUGUGAUGGUAGUGGCCCCAUUUCCUGAGCAUUGUUAGCCUCUUGUUGUCUUGCCAGGUCUGCUAACGUUGUUUCUGGAAAAGGACAAGCAGGGGCAGCAGAUGAGCCUCCAGCCAUGGGAAGUGAGCACUCGGUGCCACGUCCAGUCGCCCUGCGAGGACUCAGAGGAGCCAGGACGGCACAGAGCUGUUCCCGCUGACUGGCUCGGGGUCUCGGAGCCCCUGAGCUAGACUCAUGCCAACCAUUCAAGGACACACUGGGCUGUGAGCAGGGCUGAGAGGGCCAGGGACAGCCCCGGUGGCCCCACAUGGAGUCUCCAGCCUCUGUGAGGUACCUGUGGGGCAGUCGACCCAGCAGCCUCCUCCCCUCCAACCAAGGCCACUGGGCUGUCCUCCUUCCCUCGUUCCAGCCCCAGGUUGGCCUCCUCCUCUUUUUCCAUCUUCCUGACCAAGCUGGUCGGCCCCUUCCUCUGCCGCCCACCCUCCCUCCCUGAGCUUGCUUUGACCCCAGCAUCUACCUGCAGCCCCACAGAAUCCUUCAGGACUGUGGAGGCCCUGGGCUGAGGGUGUGAGUGAGGAGUACCCCUCUGUACUCGCCCCAGACCAGACCGUCCUCCUACAGAAAACACACCACGGUCCCAGAGCCCCUCAACUCUGGAAUCCUUGCUGAAGGACAGGACUCCCCCCACCCCGAUGCAGGAGGCAGAAACCUGGCCCUCCCUGAAGCAAUUGUGGAGGCUCCUCCUCUGAGUGCCCAGGGGCCCGACCCCAGGCCCAGCUCCGCUCCUACCCACUUCCCGGGUUUGCCUCCUGGGUCUCUCAGCUCCAGCCUCAUGCAGACAUGGCCCUCAGAGGACUACAGUGGACGAGGUCCUGACCUGGGUGGAUGAGCCAGCCCCCAGAGAGACGUUCCUGCAAAUGCAAACCCCCUCCUGAAAUGGAUGAGUGGGUGUCCGGGGAACUCACUGCAGAAAGCUGUGACGGUCCGUGACCUUCCACAGUGACAGUAGGCUGCAGGCAACUGCUGACCUGAUGCUUGGGUGACGUCUUCCAGCCUAGGACUUGCGCCGAGAUGGCGGUGGAUGGGGCUGCCAGUGAGUGUUCCUGCGGACCUGGGGCAGACUGAAGUUUUCUCUUAGAUUCCACAAGCACAAUGACCAAAGGAAAAAAGCAAUGAACUGGACAUUAUCGAAAUUAAAAACUUAUGCCAGCAAAAGUGUAACCAAACUA